UUUGAACAUGCACAUCUCAAACUUAAGAGUUCAAGAUGCAUUUCAACUUGCAUUAUUGGAAGGGGAAUCAUUAUAGCUUAGAACAUUGGAGGGGAUUGAAGGUAUCAACUCUAGCUAUUUGAAUUGUUUUCUAUAGCAUAAAUUCUAUCAUUAUAAGUAUAUGUUUUGUAGUUUAGUUUUCUCCUAGCAAAAUAUAAACAUAUUUUUAUUCUAUAAAUGGGUUUUAAUUAGUAUCUUAUUUUGAUCAACCAAAACAAAUUCGCUAAGCAAAAUUAUAGUCUUCAAGGGGUAGCUUGAGUGGCAAUUUGGUUCCAUUAUUGUUAAAUGCAAUGCUUCUUUACUUUAUCAAUACAUAUUUAUAAUUUUUAUUUCCUGUUCAGUUCAUCUAAACUAUUAAAAAUUUUAUUGGUACAUCCAUAUUGACUCUUUAUAACUUUUAUUUCUUGUUAAGUUCAUCUAAACUAUUUUAAAUUUUAUUAUUUUAUUGAUCCGACAAUUCAAUAUUGGGGCCAAUAUGAUUAUUCACUAAUUGUGUAGGAAUUAUUCAAUCUCUAUUAGGGCCUUAUUUUUUAUUUGUUCAGCAAUGUAUUUCCCAGAUGUGGCUUAUAAUUUAUUUUUUGUUGAUUUUUUAAAUAGAAAAUAAAAUAUGCCCCAUUUUUAGAUGUUGCUUAUAAUUUAUUUUUGGUUUAUUUUUUAAAUAGAAAUAAAAUAUGGUCUUAGCAUUAGAGGGUUUGGUAAUCUGACCAUGUUCUUUUUGUUUCUUACCAUAUUUAAUUAUAUAGUCUGUAUAUUCUCAAGCAUAAGAAUUGCGGUUGUUUCUUUGAUUAAAGAAAAUUGAUUUAAUGACAUCAAGGUUUUUAAGAUCUUCGAUUUGUUAGUUCUAUUUUCUUUGAAAAGAGUUAUUGUAAUAAGACUGAUGGUAAGUGAUAUUUGCCAAAAGAAAAAAAAAAAAAAAAAAGGUGAAAAAGAAGAAAAAAAAAAAUUUCUCCGACAAGAUCAUAUUAGUUUUUGUUUCAAAUUGGACUUCUAUUGACCAUAUGGAAUGGUUUCACAUGAUAAAACAUUAAAAGAGAAGCGCUGUGUAGAGAGAGUCUCCAACCUAUCAGUCUUCUUUGCUCGUUCUUGAAAGAAAGACUUAUGUAAUCUUAAGUUGGGGAAAUACAAUUUUUUUUUUUAUAAUAAUAAUCACCCCUUAUAAUAUUGGCAACAACGUGGUCUUAUUACAAAUUUUGAGAAACACUUCAAUCCAAUAAAAAUCUCAAAUCUAGAGGUUUCUUUCAUGAAUUUUUGUGGGUUUAGGUCUCAAAUGGACCUAAAACGCACCCUUUAAAAGCUUUUAUUUUUUAGUUUUAUGUUUUUUAUUUUAUUUUAUUUUUUUAAAAAUUUCAUUUCUAACCUUGGAUGAGGCGCAAGCACUGGGCGGCCGCCCAGGGCGGAUGUUGAACGCCCGCGUAGGCGGGUGCCAUAAUACCUAGGCCGGCGCUCAAAAACUACCGCCCGCUGCCUAGUUUGACUGCCUAGGCGUGAGCGAUGCGCCCAAGCCUUCUGGACCAUCAAGCGGCCGGGUAAGUGUUGGACGGUCCACAUUUUGAAACAAUAUUUUUAUUGUGUUUUUUAAUAUUUUAAUAUAAUAGUGCAAAAUUUAUCUUGCUAGUUAAAAGAAAAACUGCCACCAUAUCAGAUCCUGAUCUAUGUUAUGCUCAUUUCUAUAAUGGUUUUAGGUUCCACUUCGACCCAAAAUUUUAGGAUAUUAGUGUCUGCCUACAAGAGGAGGAUGCAUUGCAGAAGCUACGAAUUUUUUUGAAUGUAUGAUUCUUUGGUGGUAUGGAUUUGGAAAAUAAUUUAAACUGUUUUGGAUGUAUAGUUGGAAAAUAAUUUGAAGAUGGCAUUUUUGUGUUUUAGGUUCCACCUUGACCCAUUACGCGGAAUUUCAAGACAUUGACAUGUGCUUACAAGAGGAGUACGCACUACAGAAGCUUUCAAGAUAUUGACUCGUGCUUACAUGAGGAGUACGCACUCCAGAAACUCUAAACUGUUUUAGAUAGAUGAUUAUUUAGUGAUAUGGGAUUGGAAAAUAAUUCGGAGCGGGUAUAUUUGUCUCAGAGGAAAAAAUCAAAAGGUAUAGACUCCACAUUCUGUGUACUCUCGUGGGAAACAACCACACUAACCUUAUGUAAAAAAGUCUAUAUAUCCUAACCUGUUAUUGAGUGUACAAAAGUCUGGCACAGUGUAAAAAGUCUUUACAUUGUAUGAACCUUACGUAGAAAGUUAAACUUUAUGUGGAGAGUGAUGGUUUUGUUGCUAACUUUAUAAUUUGACUGAUAAGUUGAUAUUACACUUAUAAUGGAAUAAUAAUUGACUAAUAUUCAAAGUUGACAUGCAAUCGAUAAUAAUAUUAAGUAAAUUGCUGCUUGGAGCAAUACAACGUGUUAUUUUUG
Molecule: long non-coding RNA, 2438 nt
Filed under: Amborella trichopoda
Lineage: Eukaryota; Viridiplantae; Streptophyta; Magnoliopsida; Amborellales; Amborellaceae
Description: long non-coding RNA (ATRI_LNC003484)
Source: RNAcentral